Long non-coding RNA from Nelumbo nucifera (sacred lotus), 2027 nucleotides. RefSeq lists it as uncharacterized. The record is from RefSeq and is a predicted model, not a curated record. Lineage: Eukaryota; Viridiplantae; Streptophyta; Magnoliopsida; Proteales; Nelumbonaceae.
CCAAUGGAGCUUGAACCUGAGCUUUCCAUUUACAAUUUUUUUUUUUUUAAUUUACUAUCUAUCGCAUUAUUAGAUCUUUCUUGUGCCAUAGUUUAUUUUCUAUUCCUUGCUUGUUGUUGAUUCUGUUAGUGGUCUCUAUUUGAUAAAGUGGGAGAUCUAUAGGUUCUUAUGGUUAUCUUGUAGGGUAUGCUUUGAAUGGGGUUUGUUUGUGGCAUCCAAAGCGUGGUUUCCUGUUGGACGUUUUCUUUUAUGUCCUGCCUGACUUGUAGCUAAGAUGCUCAGAACUACCAUCGCCUUCUCUGUCAAACUGCUCCCCUACUCUGAAAUUAAGUCCACUAACGGUUUCACAGCUCUUGCAUUAAUGCCCCUCUCUUUGUUCUAUUUCAUAGACAGAGCUUGUAGAGCGUUGUGAGCGCGUCUUUCUUCCCUCGAUUUGAUCCAUUCAGGAGCAAAGAAACCAACGGUGAGAUCACUUAGGAAGCACCGAUUGAAACCUUGUUUUCUUUGAUUAACGAGAGGCUAAGUAGAGCACAUGCGGGAUGCGGCGUUUUUGACACCUCUAUACCGGGUUUUCAAAACACAAACCAGAGGCUUUUUGGCUCUGGCAUUCUGGCAUUCGUGAUGGGGGACUUAUUCCCUUUGUAGAGAGAGAGAUUUAACAAAGUACUUACCGGUGCUCUUGUUGGAGGUGGUGACGAAGCUUUUGUUGAACCGAUUUUUGAGAGAGCAUUAAACAGGUCACAAGAAGCGUAUCUCCCCUUUCGCUAAAUGGAAUUUUAGCGUUCAACACUGUAGUUGAACAGUUUCUCCGUCUCUCACAAAUGUGUGUCUCGUUCUUCUCACCAUUUUUUCUUUUGUCUCAAACAGUUCGUACGUAUACCUGUUGCAUGACAGAUAUUCUUUCCAUCCUCUCUUUAGAUUAGUCUCAUUCUUCUCACCAUUUUUCUUUCUUUCCAUCCCUUAAUCCCCUGUUUUUCUCUCUCCCUCCGUAUCGUCACCGCCCCCCUCAGAGCGGUAGAUAAGACCAUCCCUUCUUCCCCCUGUUUUUCUAGAGACUGAGAUUGAGGACGAUAUGCGUUAUAAGCUGUCUCUCUCAUGAAGAUGUAUCGCUCAUGCAGGAACACUGGCAUCGCCUCUCCGCAGGUGUAGAAUGUCGUCGACAUGGCGAAGGCAAAGAAUCCCAGUCGCUCUUGGAUGCCGAGAGUUGUCUACAUGCCAGAAUAUGGUAGCCAAGAUGAUACCAGUUACCAAAACUGCUCCUAAACGGACCCCAACCAUUUGGACCUGAGCUCCUGCAGCAAUUUGGAAUGUAUCUUCUUCCUGUUCUGAUACAGAUCUAUCGAUCUAGUAUGAGUGGUCCGGUUUGCCACAAAUGUUUGUAAAAUUGAUGUAUUUUAGCACAGCUAGCAGAUAUGAUUCAGUCUUUACUAAGUGUAACAAACAUAUCAAGUUUCUUAGCUGGUGUUUUAGCGUGGAAAGAUCCACAAGUAUUGAUUCCUGCCCUUCAGAUAGCAGAGACUCUUAUGGAAAAGCUUCCUGAAACAUUUUCCAAGAUGUUUGUGAGAGAGGGGGUGGUUCAUGCUGUAGAUACACUUAAAUUAACUGAUUCUUCAAAGUACAGCUAUUGUCCAAUCAUCUUCUGUUGAAAAAGAUAAUGAUUAUGUACCUGGAACAUCAUCACGUUUCAGGUGCUAUCAGCAAGCAGUGGUUGUUCAAAUGCAGAUGUAAAUCCCUUGGAAGAAUCAAAAAGUGUUAUACCUGGCAAUGUUGGUUCACCGCCAGCAUCAGUAGAAAUCCCAACUGUUAAUUCUAGCUUCGCACAACCGUAAGUGUUUGUGCAAAAGCUUUUAAAGAUAAAUAUUUUUCAGCAGAUAGCAAGGCAGCUGAAGUCGGUGUAACUGAUGACCUAUGCUUGAAAAACCUAUGUUCGAAGUUGAAUGCUUGUGUUGAUGAUCAAAAGACUAAAUCAAAGGGUAAAUUAAAGGCUUCUGGCCCUCGCCUAGCUGACCUUUCAGCUAAUACAGAGG